GGGGCGGAUCCAGGAUUUGAAAGUACCCCGGGCUAAAUUUAAAAGGAAGGUUAUAUUGUAAAGUGAACAUAAAAUUUUAUAAGAAAAAAAUAAAAUACACAUAAUAAGAUAAGAGCAUUAGAAAUCUUACACUAAAUAAUAAUUACUUUAAACAAAAUAAUUAUAUAAAAAUAAAAAAUAAAAAUGUAGUCAAUAGUUAUUAUUGAGGUUUUUAGCCGCAACCUAUUCUCUAAAACUUGUUGUGAAGAUUGUGCAUUCAUUCUUUUAUCAAUAUGUUUACAUGGAUCCUUUAAAUUGCUCCAUUUUUCCAUGGCGGCAUUGUGAAAAGAACCAUGACUCCCUUCAUGCAGUGCAAAAGGACAUUUUUUGUCACAAGAAACAUACUUCCAAUUUUGACAACCAUCAACAAUGAAUGCAUCAAACUUAGUUGAUGUAUCAUAAAAAAGAAAGCAUGGAAAACAAAAUGCUUUAUCUUUUGACAAGGAAAUUUUGAGAACCAAGAAAAUUGAAAUCGACGAUUUUGCAUACCAUGUUUGGUUGGUGGGUAUUUUUGUAGCUCGGGUUGGAAUGGUCCCAUAUUUAUGUACGCCAUCCGUACAUCUUCUCGUUUAUCAAUAUGAUAAGUUUUGAUUGAGAAGC
This 639-nucleotide long non-coding RNA is filed under the name Citrus sinensis (sweet orange). Its description in RNAcentral is "long non-coding RNA (CSIN_LNC001111)". Lineage: Eukaryota; Viridiplantae; Streptophyta; Magnoliopsida; Sapindales; Rutaceae. The record is from RNAcentral.